CACCGAUGAAGUGUCAGUCAUGCUGGUGGCUGGCAGCGACGGCAGAGCAGAGCGUGACAUGCCAGUGUUUUUUCCUGAGGGGAUGUGUGUUUUCUUGGUCUUGGAUCCACGGAGUGAUAGCAGAAUGUUCCAUUUAUUCUAUGGUUCUUUCCUUCCCUUCUUAUUUCUGCCACCAUGGCAUGAUCCAGAGCAGGGCGGUGUAACUGGGUGAUUCAACAUCACUGUUAUAGUGAUAGGAAGAGACACGGAGGAUUUUGCAACAAGUGCAAUGGGUCCAACUAAACGAGAGAUGGGACGAAUGGUAAACUUGUAGGCCUAUAUUCUACGUCGUGAGUAUGAAACCAUCACAGAAAAGAUGAGGGAUUUAUUAUGAAACGAUCAUGGAAACGAAAUAAAUAAAAGCCUCGGAAAUAGAUCGCUAUUUCUAAUUAUUUUAAAAUGCAAAGAUAAAUGAAAUGGAUGUUCUCUAUUCUCACUAAGGGCAAAUGAUUGCAUCUUGUUAUUAACCUUUUUAUUGUUAUGAAUAAACGUGUCCAUCAUAUCCACCAUUUGCACAAAACACUAAUCUACUUGCCUUCUUGAAAUGCAAUUCUUCAACCACUAGAAACGGUGCAUAUGUCUAACAGGGUUAUAUUGGUGAUUCCCCUUGCCACUUUAUUGUUAAGCCAAUGGGUUUUUGGUUUUAUUUUUGUCUUGCCUUCACCUACUCAACAUGGCAUCUUAUUGGCUGGUUUGCGUAGCUUGCUUACGAGGGAGGAUGUUUCAGUUAGAAUCGUCCCAGUGAACAAGCACCAAACCAGCGCAGGUUCUGAGGCUCAUUCGAAUGAAGGAAAGUGGUGCUGUGGAACCGCGGUGGCCCUAAGAAAACACUCAUCCUAUACAGAGGCAGUCUGUCGAGUAAGGAGGACAAGCCAUGUCUGCCACUAUAAGCAGCUUUCCUAAUAACAGUACUUUCUAACACUCAGACAUGGGUCUCAAUAACAAAGAUCUGUGCAUAUGGAGCAUGGCCAUGGUCCUAAUAGUGGUUUUGCUGUCACUUAUCUAUGGCUUGUGUUACUUCUAUGGGCUAUGUGCAAGGAAGAUAAGAUACAGCAGCCUGUCUUUGAUUUCGGUGUGAUUCUAUUAUGUGCAUCAUGUCAUG
Molecule: long non-coding RNA, 1141 nt
Filed under: Salmo salar (Atlantic salmon)
Lineage: Eukaryota; Metazoa; Chordata; Actinopteri; Salmoniformes; Salmonidae
Description: lncRNA (ENSSSAG00000116963.1)
Source: RNAcentral